Molecule: ribosomal RNA, 22 nt
Filed under: Harknessia eucalypti
Lineage: Eukaryota; Fungi; Ascomycota; Sordariomycetes; Diaporthales; Harknessiaceae
Also listed under: 3 other names
Description: partial 28S ribosomal RNA
Source: RNAcentral
UUUGACCUCGGAUCAGGUAGGA